This 394-nucleotide ribosomal RNA is filed under the name Aggregatibacter sp. RNAcentral describes it as "bacterial SSU rRNA". It matches the Rfam family "Bacterial small subunit ribosomal RNA", at positions 386 to 774 of the family's 1533-position model. The record is from RNAcentral. Lineage: Bacteria; Pseudomonadati; Pseudomonadota; Gammaproteobacteria; Pasteurellales; Pasteurellaceae.
ACGCAGCCAUGCCGCGUGAUGAGAAGGCCUUCGGGUUGUAAAGUUCUUUCGGUGACGAGGAAGGUUGUUGUGUUAAUAGCGCAACAAAUUGACGUUAAUCACAGAAGAAGCACCGGCUAACUCCGUGCCAGCAGCCGCGGUAAUACGGAGGGUGCGAGCGUUAAUCGGAAUAACUGGGCGUAAAGGGCACGCAGGCGGCUAUUUAAGUGAGGUGUGAAAUCCCCGGGCUUAACCUGGGAAUUGCAUUUCAGACUGGGUAGCUAGAGUACUUUAGGGAGGGGUAGAAUUCCACGUGUAGCGGUGAAAUGCGUAGAGAUGUGGAGGAAUACCGAAGGCGAAGGCAGCCCCUUGGGAAUGUACUGACGCUCAUGUGCGAAAGCGUGGGGAGCAAACA